UAUGUGAUCGUCUCUCGCAUAUCAAUAAGCGGAGGAAAAGAAACUAACAAGGAUUCCCUUAGUAACGGCGAGUGAAGCGGGAAGAGCUCAAAUUUGAAAUCUUCAAGGUUUUACCUUGACGAAUUGUAGUUUAAAGAAGUGUUCUCUGUUGAAGUUUUGGUAAAAGUUCUUUGGAAUAGGACAUCAUAGAGGGUGAGAAUCCCGUAUUUGACCAUUAUUUUCAGCUGUGUGAUACACUUUCAAAGAGUCGGAUUGUUUGGGAAUGCAGUCCAAAAUGGGUGGUAAAUUUCAUCUAAAGCUAAAUAUUGGCGAGAGACCGAUAGCGAACAAGUACCGUGAGGGAAAGAUGAAAAGAACUUCGAAAAGAGAGUUAAACAGUAUGUGAAAUUGUCAAAAGGGAAGCGUUUGACACCAGUGUUGUUUUCUCGAAAAUCAAUUAAAAAGAGUUAGAUUUUGUUGUGUAUUGACCUUAACAGCUUGCAUUUCAAUUUUCUUGCUUUUUUUAAUGCACUUUUCGUUUAACAAGUCAACAUCAGUUUCUUUUGUUGUAAAAAGGUCAUUGGAAGGUGGCUUUCUUUUCGGAGAAAGUGUUUAUAGCCUUUGACUCCUGCAAUCGGAGAGACUGAGGUCUGCAGCGUAGAUCCUUCGGGGUUAGAUACAUUUGUGCUAAGUUAUAGCUUUUUAUAGACAACUUGUUGACUAUGAUUAGUCUUGUAGCUUACUCGCUUAUGCUAUUUUACCUACGCUUAGGAUGUUGAAGAUGUAGCACAUCA
Molecule: ribosomal RNA, 773 nt
Filed under: uncultured Neocallimastigales
Lineage: Eukaryota; Fungi; Neocallimastigomycota; Neocallimastigomycetes; Neocallimastigales
Description: partial large subunit ribosomal RNA
Rfam family: Eukaryotic large subunit ribosomal RNA
Source: RNAcentral